This 266-nucleotide ribosomal RNA is filed under the name uncultured bacterium. RNAcentral's name for it is "partial 16S ribosomal RNA". It matches the Rfam family "Bacterial small subunit ribosomal RNA", at positions 91 to 354 of the family's 1533-position model. The record is from RNAcentral.
UUUAGUGGCGGACGGGUGAGUAACACGGUGAGCAACCUGCCUUCGAGAGGGGAAUAACGGCUGGAAACGGUCGCUAAUACCGCAUAACGUACGGAUGGGACAUCCUGUCUGUACCAAAGGAUUUAUCGCUCGAAGAUGGGCUCGCGUCCGAUUAGGUAGUUGGUGAGGUAACGGCCCACCAAGCCGACGAUCGGUAGCCGGACGUGAGAGGUUGAACGGCCACAUUGGGACUGAGACACGGCCCAGACUCCUACGGGAGGCAGCAG